UCCAGACUCCUACGGGAGGCAGCAGUGAGGAAUAUUGGUCAAUGGGCGCAAGCCUGAACCAGCCAAGUCGCGUGAGGGAAGACGGCCCUACGGGUUGUAAACCUCUUUUGCCGGGGAGCAAGCCUGAGCACGUGUGCCCAGGCGGAGAGUACCCGGAGAAAAAGCAUCGGCUAACUCCGUGCCAGCAGCCGCGGUAAUACGGAGGAUGCGAGCGUUAUCCGGAUUUAUUGGGUUUAAAGGGUGCGUAGGCGGAUUUUUAAGUCAGCGGUAAAAUGUCCGGGCUCAACCCGGGCCGGCCGUUGAAACUGGGGAUCUUGAGUGGGCGAGAAGUAUGCGGAAUGCGUGGUGUAGCGGUGAAAUGCAUAGAUAUCACGCAGAACUCCGAUUGCGAAGGCAGCAUACCGGCGCCCGACUGACGCUGAGGCACGAAAGCGUGGGGAUCGAACAGGAUUAGAUACCCGAGUAC
This 466-nucleotide ribosomal RNA is filed under the name uncultured bacterium. Its description in RNAcentral is "bacterial SSU rRNA". It matches the Rfam family "Bacterial small subunit ribosomal RNA", at positions 330 to 793 of the family's 1533-position model. The record is from RNAcentral.